GGCUGAUCCAAUGGUAGUGGGUUAUCAGAAUUUAUUAACAAUAGUGUUACUAAAGUUGGCAUACAACCCCCCACUGCUAAAUUUGACCGCUUUAA
This 95-nucleotide Y RNA is filed under the name Propithecus coquereli (Coquerel's sifaka). RNAcentral describes it as "Y RNA (ENSPCOG00000010265.1)". It matches the Rfam family "Y RNA". Rfam says of the family: Y RNAs are components of the Ro ribonucleoprotein particle (Ro RNP), in association with Ro60 and La proteins. The Y RNAs and Ro60 and La proteins are well conserved, but the function of the Ro RNP is not known. Lineage: Eukaryota; Metazoa; Chordata; Mammalia; Primates; Indriidae. The record is from Rfam by way of RNAcentral.